RNAcentral lists this non-coding RNA (23 nucleotides) under Cricetulus griseus (Chinese hamster). Lineage: Eukaryota; Metazoa; Chordata; Mammalia; Rodentia; Cricetidae. The record is from RNAcentral.
UGGUCCGAUGGUAGUGAGUUAUC